RNAcentral lists this ribosomal RNA (821 nucleotides) under Bifidobacterium pseudolongum. RNAcentral's name for it is "bacterial SSU rRNA". It matches the Rfam family "Bacterial small subunit ribosomal RNA", at positions 21 to 837 of the family's 1533-position model. The record is from RNAcentral. Lineage: Bacteria; Bacillati; Actinomycetota; Actinomycetes; Bifidobacteriales; Bifidobacteriaceae.
GGCUCAGGAUGAACGCUGGCGGCGUGCUUAACACAUGCAAGUCGAACGGGAUCCCUGGCAGCUUGCUGCCGGGGUGAGAGUGGCGAACGGGUGAGUAAUGCGUGACCGACCUGCCCCAUGCACCGGAAUAGCUCCUGGAAACGGGUGGUAAUGCCGGAUGUUCCACAUGAGCGCAUGCGAGUGUGGGAAAGGCUUUUUGCGGCAUGGGAUGGGGUCGCGUCCUAUCAGCUUGUUGGUGGGGUAACGGCCUACCAAGGCGUUGACGGGUAGCCGGCCUGAGAGGGCGACCGGCCACAUUGGGACUGAGAUACGGCCCAGACUCCUACGGGAGGCAGCAGUGGGGAAUAUUGCACAAUGGGCGCAAGCCUGAUGCAGCGACGCCGCGUGCGGGAUGGAGGCCUUCGGGUUGUAAACCGCUUUUGUUCAAGGGCAAGGCACGGUCUUUGGCCGUGUUGAGUGGAUUGUUCGAAUAAGCACCGGCUAACUACGUGCCAGCAGCCGCGGUAAUACGUAGGGUGCAAGCGUUAUCCGGAUUUAUUGGGCGUAAAGGGCUCGUAGGCGGUUCGUCGCGUCCGGUGUGAAAGUCCAUCGCUUAACGGUGGAUCCGCGCCGGGUACGGGCGGGCUUGAGUGCGGUAGGGGAGACUGGAAUUCCCGGUGUAACGGUGGAAUGUGUAGAUAUCGGGAAGAACACCAAUGGCGAAGGCAGGUCUCUGGGCCGUUACUGACGCUGAGGAGCGAAAGCGUGGGGAGCGAACAGGAUUAGAUACCCUGGUAGUCCACGCCGUAAACGGUGGAUGCUGGAUGUGGGGCCCUUUUUCC